Long non-coding RNA from Bos indicus x Bos taurus (hybrid cattle), 415 nucleotides. NCBI's taxonomy places the organism in Eukaryota, Metazoa, Chordata, Mammalia, Artiodactyla, Bovidae. The record is from Ensembl.
AAUCUUGAGUGCCUGCAGACGUUGCCUAAUAACUAAAAAGAGACAAACACAGCAGGUCUCUCCUGGCUCCAGUAAGGAGGCAGUAAUUCACUAAAGAAGGGACUCUGCACCUGCUGUGAUGGCUGCUUUAUGCUCAUGUGUGCACCAGAGGCUGUCUGUGCAUAACCAUAUAAGUGUAAAGUGGAGGAAGUAACAUCACUACUGUGGGUCUGGAGGUAGAGAGCUGUAUGAGGAUCCCAAACAAAAAAAGCUUUGAUUGAUUGCUGAGGUGACCUUGAAACUGACACCUGAAGGAUGAGUAAAGCUAAUCUGAAGCAAGAAAUUCUCUGUGGAAGACACGUGGUAAAUGAGUGGCAGUUUCUGCAAGAAACAUAAUAUGAGAUAUCUUCAGCUUUUGAAGUGGAACAUGGAGGGA